This 86-nucleotide microRNA precursor is filed under the name Eptesicus fuscus (big brown bat). Its description in RNAcentral is "microRNA efu-mir-9235b precursor". The stretch from base 8 to 77 matches the Rfam family "mir-9235 microRNA precursor family". Lineage: Eukaryota; Metazoa; Chordata; Mammalia; Chiroptera; Vespertilionidae. The record is from miRBase by way of RNAcentral.
AUUUUAGUUGUAAUUUUGAUGUGGCUGUGGGAAGUGGCAAGUACAUGCAUUUUCCCAUGCUACCAUCUUGGUUCCCUUGCUAAGUU